Long non-coding RNA from Pygocentrus nattereri (red-bellied piranha), 257 nucleotides. RefSeq lists it as uncharacterized. The record is from RefSeq and is a predicted model, not a curated record. Lineage: Eukaryota; Metazoa; Chordata; Actinopteri; Characiformes; Serrasalmidae. The transcript has 3 exons.
CUUAUAUAAGUGCAACAUCCACUAACAUGCCUCUACCAUGUUGGUGUACCUGCUGUGCUAAGAAGGAUUCUCCACCUAUAUCAGGGUCCCAGCUAUCCAGGUCCAGGGGAAAGGGGGGAGAGUGUAUUUCUGUCGCAUGCGCCAACAGGACAGAGGAGAACACAGAGACGUGCACAAAUACAUGGUGCUGUCGUUACUGCUUAGCGAGGCACCUGUGGGAAAGGCUUCUGAAAUGCCAACACAGUCUACAGAGAAGG